AUUGAACGCUGGCGGCAGGCCUAAUACAUGCAAGUAGAGCGGCAGCGGGAAAGUAGCUUGCUACUUUUGUCGGCGAGCGGCGGACGGGUGAGUAAUGCCUGGGGAUCUGCCCAGUCGAGGGGGAUAACAGUUGGAAACGACUGCUAAUACCGCAUACGCCCUACCGGGGUAAGGAGGGGACCUUCGGGCCUUCCGCGAUUGGAGGAACCCGGGUGGGAUUAGCUAGUUGGUGGGGUAAUGGCUCACCAAGGCGACGAUCUCUAGCUGGUCUGGGAGGGGGAUCAGCCACACUGGAACGGAGACACGGGCCAGACUCCUACGGGAGGCAGCAGUGGGGAAUAUUGCACAAUGGGGGAAACCCUGAUGCAGCCAUGCCGCGUGUGUGAAGAAGGCCUUCGGGUUGUAAAGCACUUUCAGCGAGGAGGAAAGGUUGGCGCCUAAUACGUGUCAACUGUGACGAUACUCGCAGAAGAAGCACCGGCUAACUCCGUGCCAGCAGCCGCCGUAA
Molecule: ribosomal RNA, 508 nt
Filed under: uncultured bacterium
Lineage: Bacteria
Description: partial 16S ribosomal RNA
Rfam family: Bacterial small subunit ribosomal RNA
Source: RNAcentral